Molecule: non-coding RNA, 919 nt
Filed under: Beta vulgaris subsp. vulgaris (sugar beet)
Lineage: Eukaryota; Viridiplantae; Streptophyta; Magnoliopsida; Caryophyllales; Amaranthaceae
Description: Bacterial large subunit ribosomal RNA
Rfam family: Bacterial large subunit ribosomal RNA
Source: Rfam by way of RNAcentral
AAUUACGUUAAGUCUAAAUUAUAAUGGAGGCCCUACCAUCCAAUGUUUGGAGACCUAAAAUGGUCAUAUGGUUUACAAGUAUUUUAGACCUUGACUUUACCUAUUCCAGAUUUAAAGAGAAAAAUACAUAAUAUCAAAAACUCAGGUGAAGUGGAUUGUCAUAGUAACCGUUGGAAAAGAAAUCAACAGAGAUAUCGUCAGUAGUUGGGAGCGAACACGAUUAUGUUUUAGUUAAUACUUUAUAUAUAAAUUAACAACUGGCUGAGAAGCCUAUCAGAACUCGGUGAUAGUCCAUAAUGUAGUUUAUAUAUUCAGUGCCAAAUAUUGUUAAUUUUAUAAGUAAGGUAGUAAAUUUAUUGUGCUGCAUGAAAAUUGGGGUACCAUUCUCAAAAACUAAAUAUAAUUGGUGUGUUAUAGUGAACAAGUACUGCGAAGGAAAGGUGAAACAGAGACCGGUGGCGGAGUGAAAAGAGAUAAAAUGAUACUUUAGAUAAGCAGUUAUAUUUCAGUUGAAUUUAACGUACCUUUUGUAUAAUGGGCGGGCAACUUAACCGUUAAAGCAAGCUUAAGGAUUAUCAACGUAAGCUUAAUUAACGUAAGUAAUUUGCAAAUAGUUUUAUCGGUUACACCCGAAGCUUUGCGAUCUAGUUGUAGGCAGGUUACCAGGACUGAACCGGUAGCAGUGGAAAAUGCUUCGGAUGACUUACGACUAGGGGUGAAAGUCUAAUCAAGCUGAGUGAUAGCUGGUUCUCUGCGAAAUAUAUCUUAGUAUAGCAUUCAAUAAAAACAGCUGUAAAGCUACUCUAAUACACUUGCAUCUAUGCAAAGACUGGGGAAACUCAGAAUGCUGUUAGCAAUCUAUUGAAUAGACAGACUCUGGGUGCGAAGGUCCAGAGUCUAGAGGGAAACAGCCCUCAUC